Molecule: small nucleolar RNA, 104 nt
Organism: Macaca mulatta (Rhesus monkey)
Lineage: Eukaryota; Metazoa; Chordata; Mammalia; Primates; Cercopithecidae
Source: Ensembl
AUCCUUUUGUAGUUCAUAAGUGUGAUGAUUGGGUUUUCAGACUCCUGUAUAAGAUGUGCCUCCCUCACUCCUUGUUACAACAUCAGCACAUUACACAUCUGAAU